Molecule: ribosomal RNA, 1073 nt
Filed under: Exiguobacterium aurantiacum
Lineage: Bacteria; Bacillati; Bacillota; Bacilli; Caryophanales
Description: bacterial SSU rRNA
Rfam family: Bacterial small subunit ribosomal RNA
Source: RNAcentral
GGAGAAAAAUGUUAGUACACACGGGAUCCCUUACCAGUGAGGAGACUGUUGAUCGCGCAAUUGAGCGGCGGACGGGUGAGUAACACGUAAAGAACCUGCCCUCAGGUCUGGGAUAACCACGAGAAAUCGGGGCUAAUACCGGAUGGGUCAUCGGACCGCAUGGUCCGAGGAUGAAAGGCGCUUCGGCGUCGCCUGGGGAUGGCUUUGCGGUGCAUUAGCUAGUUGGUGGGGUAAUGGCCCACCAAGGCGACGAUGCAUAGCCGACCUGAGAGGGUGAUCGGCCACACUGGGACUGAGACACGGCCCAGACUCCUACGGGAGGCAGCAGUAGGGAAUCUUCCACAAUGGACGAAAGUCUGAUGGAGCAACGCCGCGUGAACGAUGAAGGCCUUCGGGUCGUAAAGUUCUGUUGUAAGGGAAGAACAAGUGCCGCAGGCAAUGGCGGCACCUUGACGGUACCUUGCGAGAAAGCCACGGCUAACUACGUGCCAGCAGCCGCGGUAAUACGUAGGUGGCAAGCGUUGUCCGGAAUUAUUGGGCGUAAAGCGCGCGCAGGCGGCCUCUUAAGUCUGAUGUGAAAGCCCCCGGCUCAACCGGGGAGGGCCAUUGGAAACUGGGAGGCUUGAGUAUAGGACAGAAGAGUGGAAUUCCACGUGUAGCGGUGAAAUGCGUAGAGAUGUGGAGGAACACCAGUGGCGAAGGCUACUCUUUGGCCCUAUAACUGACGCUGAGGCGCGAAAGCGUGGGGAGCAAACUAUGAUUAGAUACCCCUGGUAGUCCACGCCGUAAACGAUGAGUGCUAGGUGUUGGAGGGUUUCCGCCCUUCACUGCUUGAAGCUAACGCAUUACGCACUCCGCCUGGGGGAGUACGGUCCCAAGGCUGAAACUCAAGAGUGGACGGGGAACCCGCACAAGUCGUGGGAACCAUGUUGUUUAAUUCCUAGUCACCGCGAAGAACCUUACCAACUUCUUGGACCUUCCCCCUUGACCCGAGUACAGAAGAAUGUUACCUUCCCCUUCGGGGGCAGGGGUUGACUGGUGGGUGCCAUUGAUAUCAUUCCAUCCUCCGGAUG